This 644-nucleotide ribosomal RNA is filed under the name Acanthamoeba sp. RNAcentral describes it as "partial 18S ribosomal RNA". It matches the Rfam family "Eukaryotic small subunit ribosomal RNA", at positions 658 to 1095 of the family's 1831-position model. The record is from RNAcentral. Lineage: Eukaryota; Discosea; Longamoebia; Acanthamoebidae.
GGAACCSCCCGAAASKACYGUYGAUUUUUACACCCSACAMCAMUUUARRGCGACCCCCCUUUAUUUGGGGAGGGGGGUUCCCCCCCAAACYSUGGGGGGUUUCCCCCCGUUUUUUGGGGGGGUGACUCCCCCCCCAACAUSUUGGAUGGUUCCCCACAUUUUUUGYGGARGUGAUUCCCCCCMCAGCAUCUGAGGMKWUGGCCCAGAUCGUUUACCGUGAAAAAAUUAGAGUGUUCAAAGCAGGCAGAUCCAAUUCUCUGCCACCGAAUACAUUAGCAUGGGAUAAUGGAAUAGGACCCUGUCCUCCUAUUUUCAGUUGGUUUUGGCAGCGCGAGGACUAGGGUAAUGAUUAAUAGGGAUAGUUGGGGGCAUUAAUAUUUAAUUGUCAGAGGUGAAAUUCUUGGAUUUAUGAAAGAUUAACUUCUGCGAAAGCAUCUGCCAAGGAUGUUUUCAUUAAUCAAGAACGAAAGUUAGGGGAUCGAAGACGAUCAGAUACCGUCGUAGUCUUAMCCAUAAACGAUGCCGACCAGCGAUUAGGAGACGUUGAAUACAAAACMCCACCAUCGGCGCGGUCGUCCUUGRCCGGGUUCUCGUCMUUCRCGGSCCCCRGCACGSCGUGGGAGGUUMCCCAUAUUUUCCCCCGC